GAGAAAUGAGGAAAUCAAAUGAUUCUUGAGUACAAGUGAAGACUUCUAAUCCAACUCUGAUCUCUGGCACCCG
Molecule: small nucleolar RNA, 73 nt
Organism: Scleropages formosus (Asian bonytongue)
Lineage: Eukaryota; Metazoa; Chordata; Actinopteri; Osteoglossiformes; Osteoglossidae
Product: small nucleolar RNA SNORD19
Source: Ensembl